UACGUAGGCAGCAAGCGUUGUUCGGAGUUACUGGGCGUAAAGGGUGUGUAGGCGGUUCUUUAAGUUUGGUGUGAAAUCUCCCGGCUCAACUGGGAGGGUGCGCCGAAUACUGAGGGCCUAGAGUACGGGAGAGGAAAGUGGAAUUCCUGGUGUAGCGGUGAAAUGCGUAGAUAUCAGGAGGAACACCGGUGGUGUAGACGGCUUUCUGGACCGUAACUGACGCUGAAACACGAAAGCGUGGGUAGCAAACAGG
This 253-nucleotide ribosomal RNA is filed under the name uncultured bacterium. RNAcentral's name for it is "partial 16S ribosomal RNA". It matches the Rfam family "Bacterial small subunit ribosomal RNA", at positions 524 to 776 of the family's 1533-position model. The record is from RNAcentral.